Molecule: long non-coding RNA, 467 nt
Filed under: Zalophus californianus (California sea lion)
Lineage: Eukaryota; Metazoa; Chordata; Mammalia; Carnivora; Otariidae
Description: lncRNA (ENSZCAG00015006436.1)
Source: RNAcentral
CAGAGGACACCAUGCAUCCGGGACAAGACAGAGGAAAGAUGAAAACCCAGGCAAGCCCUCUGCUUUUGCAGAGCGAACGUGGCCGCAGGCUUUUCAGCAUUGAAUUUGAACAAGCCAAUGGCAUCCCAAUCAUUGAAACAGGAAGCCAGAUAAACAGCAUGUUAUCAAGGGGGGAUCCGGGUGCUUCCCUUAAGCCGGCGCCAGCUGCGCCCUGUGGCUGUCCUAACAAAGUCCCAUUGACUCACCAGCUGAUUUUCCAGUGUUUGGCACCGGGGGACAAGGAACCCUCUCUGCUGGGUGGAUUUCACCCCUGCACACCGCCCCCACCACUCACCCCUCACGUCCUCCCCCAAUCCUGCCUCCCCAACGCAGACUGGGCUAAUUCUUUAUCCCAUGACCAGGUUCUAUCGGCUCUAGAGAAUAGAAGGGACCACAAGAGCCCAAGCACCGAGCGCCCUCAGGUCUGA